RNAcentral lists this ribosomal RNA (268 nucleotides) under uncultured bacterium. RNAcentral's name for it is "partial 16S ribosomal RNA". It matches the Rfam family "Bacterial small subunit ribosomal RNA", at positions 57 to 305 of the family's 1533-position model. The record is from RNAcentral.
GCAAGUCGUACGAGAACGCUUCAGCUUGCUGAAGUUAGUAAAGUGGCGCACGGGUGAGUAACGCGUGGGUAAUCUACCUUCGAAUUGGGGAUAACGUUGCGAAAGUGACGCUAAUACCGAAUGAUAUCAUAAGGACUUUGGUUCUUUUGAUCAAAGGUUGGCUUUCCUUGGAAGCUAUUGGUUGAAGAUGAGCCCGCGUCCCAUUAGCUUGUUGGUGGGGUAAUGGCCUACCAAGGCAGCGAUGGGUAGCGGGUCUGAGAGGAUGAUC